RNAcentral lists this ribosomal RNA (230 nucleotides) under uncultured Alicycliphilus sp. RNAcentral's name for it is "partial 16S ribosomal RNA". It matches the Rfam family "Bacterial small subunit ribosomal RNA", at positions 550 to 774 of the family's 1533-position model. Lineage: Bacteria; Pseudomonadati; Pseudomonadota; Betaproteobacteria; Burkholderiales; Comamonadaceae. The record is from RNAcentral.
AGCUGAUCACUGGGCGUAAAGCGUGCGCAGGCGGUUUUGUAAGACAGAGGUGAAAUCCCCGGGCUCAACCUGGGAACUGCCUUUGUGACUGCAAGGCUGGAGUGCGGCAGAGGGGGAUGGAAUUCCGCGUGUAGCAGUGAAAUGCGUAGAUAUGCGGAGGAACACCGAUGGCGAAGGCAAUCCCCUGGGCCUGCACUGACGCUCAUGCACGAAAGCGUGGGGAGCGAACA